Molecule: ribosomal RNA, 583 nt
Filed under: uncultured Malassezia
Lineage: Eukaryota; Fungi; Basidiomycota; Malasseziomycetes; Malasseziales; Malasseziaceae
Description: eukaryotic LSU rRNA
Rfam family: Eukaryotic large subunit ribosomal RNA
Source: RNAcentral
UAACAAGGAUUCCCCUAGUAACGGCGAGCGAAGCGGGAAGAGCUCAAAUUUGAAAGCUGGCACCUCCGGUGUCCGCGUUGUAAUCUCGAGACGUGUUUUCCGUGCGGCUCUAUGGACAAGUCCCUUGGAAUAGGGCAUCGUAGAGGGUGAGAAUCCCGUACUUGCCAUGGAAGAACCGUGCUUUGCGAUACACGCUCUAAGAGUCGAGUUGUUUGGGAUUGCAGCUCAAAAUGGGUGGUAGACUCCAUCUAAAGCUAAAUAUCGGGGAGAGACCGAUAGCGAACAAGUACCGUGAGGGAAAGAUGAAAAGCACUUUGGAAAGAGAGUUAAAAGUACGUGAAAUUGUCGAAAGGGAAGCACUUGAAGUCAGCCAUGCUGCUUGAGACUCAGCCUGGCCUUUGGGCUUGGUGUAUUUCUCGGUGGCAAGCCAGCAUUGGUUUGGGUCGUCGGAGAAGCGCAUAGGGAAUGUAGCGUCUCCGGACGUGUUAUAGCCUUAUGCAGGAUACGACGACCUGGAUCAAGGAACGCAGUGUGCCCUCUGGGCGGGUCUUCGGACACCUUCACACUUAGGAUGCUGCGUAAU